RNAcentral lists this ribosomal RNA (701 nucleotides) under uncultured bacterium. RNAcentral describes it as "bacterial SSU rRNA". It matches the Rfam family "Bacterial small subunit ribosomal RNA", at positions 89 to 789 of the family's 1533-position model. The record is from RNAcentral.
AUGAAAGUGGCGAACGGGUGAGUAACACGUAAGUAAUCUGCCUUCAAGUUUGGGAUAACCCUGCCAACGCGGGGCUAAUACCGGAUGUGGUCCAGCAGACCCAUGUUUGCGGGAUUAAAGGUCGCGAGACCGCUUGGAGAUGAGCUUGCGGCCCAUUAGCUAGUUGGUGAGGUAACGGCCCACCAAGGCAGGGAUGGGUAGCCGGCCUGAGAGGGUGUACGGCCACAUUGGGACUGAGAUACGGCCCAGACUCCUACGGGAGGCAGCAGUAGGGAAUUUUGCGCAAUGGACGGAAGUCUGACGCAGCAACGCCGCGUGAAGGAUGAAGGCCUUCGGGUUGUAAACUUCUGUUGGAUGGGAAAAAAAGCCUUUUAAGAGGAAUUGAUGGUACCAUUCGAGUAAGCACCGGCUAACUACGUGCCAGCAGCCGCGGUAAUACGUAGGGUGCGAGCGUUGUUCGGAAUCACUGGGCGUAAAGGGAGCGUAGGCGGAACUGUAAGUUAGAAGUUUAAUACAUGGGCUCAACCCGUGGUCUGCUUUUAAUACUGCGGUUCUUGAGUAUGGGAGAGGGCGAUGGAAUUCCAGGUGUAGCGGUGGAAUGCGUAGAUAUCUGGAAGACACCAGUAGCGAAGGCGGUCGCCUGGCCCAAUACUGACGCUGAGGCUCGAAAGCUGGGGGAGCAAACAGGAUUAGAUACCCUG